GCGACCCCAGGUCAGGCGGGACUACCCGCUGAGUUUAAGCAUAUAAAUAAGCGGAGGAGAAGAAACUUACAAG
Molecule: ribosomal RNA, 73 nt
Filed under: Phippsia algida
Lineage: Eukaryota; Viridiplantae; Streptophyta; Magnoliopsida; Poales; Poaceae
Description: partial 26S ribosomal RNA
Rfam family: Eukaryotic large subunit ribosomal RNA
Source: RNAcentral